GAGUCAGACUGUGGGUGAUCAGGUUCCUAGUCGAAAGGGAAACAGCCCAGAUCGCCAGCUACGAUCCCUAAAUGUAAGUCCAGCGGCAACGCAUGUGGGCUUGCCCAGACCACCCGGAUGUUGGCUUCGAAGCAGCCACUCAUUCAAAGCGUGCGUAAUAGCUCACUGGUCGAGUGAUCCUGCGCCGAAGAUUUCCGGGGCGAAAACUUACUACCGAAGCUACGGCAUCAGUAAUGGUGGGUAGGGGAGCUUCCCAUACGGGUUGAAGCAUGACCAUAAGGACAUGUGGACAGUAUGGUAGUGAGAAUGUUGGCAUGAGUAGCGAGAUGUGGGUGAGAAUCCCACAGGCAGUAAACCCAAGGUUUCCAGGGGAAGGUUCGUCCGCCUCGGGGUCGGUGGGUCCUAAGCUGCCGUCAACAGGCGGAGGUGUGGGAC
RNAcentral lists this ribosomal RNA (435 nucleotides) under Clostridioides difficile. RNAcentral describes it as "bacterial LSU rRNA". It matches the Rfam family "Bacterial large subunit ribosomal RNA", at positions 981 to 1423 of the family's 2925-position model. The record is from RNAcentral. Lineage: Bacteria; Bacillati; Bacillota; Clostridia; Peptostreptococcales; Peptostreptococcaceae.